RNAcentral lists this unclassified non-coding RNA (168 nucleotides) under uncultured Basidiomycota. Its description in RNAcentral is "sequence contains ITS1". The record is from RNAcentral. Lineage: Eukaryota; Fungi; Basidiomycota.
AAGAUUCUGGCAUAUUUGCCGUACUUUCACUGGCUGUGCGCCGUUUGGCUGCACGCCGCUGAAACAUCUCACACCUGUGCACCUUCUCGGUUGAGGCUCUGACCAAGAGCCACUUCCGCCCUUUACAUACAACCACUACAGUCCAGAAAGUCGCAUACAAUAUAAAAA